Molecule: long non-coding RNA, 357 nt
Organism: Oreochromis niloticus (Nile tilapia)
Lineage: Eukaryota; Metazoa; Chordata; Actinopteri; Cichliformes; Cichlidae
Exons: 3
Source: RefSeq, a predicted model, not a curated record
AGGCCACCCCGCUCGACACGCCACUGCUCCCGAGUGUCCUCAAACGCCUGUCUGGGUGUUUUCUACCUGCUCAGUUUACUUUCACUUCCUGAACUUCGUGGAGUGGAGCUUGUUGUUGGUGUGUGAAGAAACUGAAGUGAUGCUUCACUUUCAGCCUUCUGUGGAUUUUCUUCAGUAAAAGCUGAAGUCAAACUGUCAACAUGUCAGCAGAAAACCUCACUUAUGACUGCUCAGGUGCGUGCGACUCCCCUGCAGUGGCGCUGCAGACCACGCCCCGCCACACACAUUAACAAGGUGAAGGUAGAAAGUGUGUGUGAGCUGAUGUGAAUUGAGCAGCAUGGAUCAGUGUGAGGACAG